GACGAACGCUGGCGGCGUGCUUAACACAUGCAAGUCGAACGGAAAGGCCCUGCUUUUGUGGGGUGCUCGAGUGGCGAACGGGUGAGUAACACGUGAGUAACCUGCCCUUGACUUUGGGAUAACUUCAGGAAACUGGGGCUAAUACCGGAUAGGAGCUCCUGCUGCAUGGUGGGGUUGGAAAGUUUCGGCGGUUGGGGAUGGACUCGCGGCUUAUCAGCUUGUUGGUGGGGUAGUGGCUUACCAAGGCUUUGACGGGUAGCCGGCCUGAGAGGGUGACCGGCCACAUUGGGACUGAGAUACGGCCCAGACUCCUACGGGAGGCAGCAGUGGGGAAUAUUGCACAAUGGGCGGAAGCCUGAUGCAGCAACGCCGCGUGCGGGAUGACGGCCUUCGGGUUGUAAACCGCUUUCGCCUGUGACGAAGCGUGAGUGACGGUAAUGGGGAAAGAAGCACCGGCUAACUACGG
RNAcentral lists this ribosomal RNA (466 nucleotides) under uncultured bacterium. RNAcentral's name for it is "partial 16S ribosomal RNA". It matches the Rfam family "Bacterial small subunit ribosomal RNA", at positions 28 to 506 of the family's 1533-position model. The record is from RNAcentral.